Molecule: ribosomal RNA, 119 nt
Filed under: Avena sativa (oats)
Lineage: Eukaryota; Viridiplantae; Streptophyta; Magnoliopsida; Poales; Poaceae
Source: RNAcentral
GGAUACGAUCAUACCAGCACUAAAGCACCGGAUCCCAUCAGAACUUCGGAGUUAAGCGUGCUUGGGCGAGAGUAGUACUAGGAUGGGUGACCUCCUGGGAAGUCCUCGUGUUGUAUCCC